RNAcentral lists this ribosomal RNA (279 nucleotides) under Dialister succinatiphilus YIT 11850. Its description in RNAcentral is "partial 16S ribosomal RNA". It matches the Rfam family "Bacterial small subunit ribosomal RNA", at positions 492 to 776 of the family's 1533-position model. The record is from RNAcentral. Lineage: Bacteria; Bacillati; Bacillota; Negativicutes; Veillonellales; Veillonellaceae.
UAUGGUAAUUGUGUGCCGCCGCGGUAAUACGUAGGUGGCAAGCGUUGUCCGGAAUUAUUGGGCGUAAAGCGCGCGCAGGCGGCUUCUUAAGUCCAUCUUAAAAGUGCGGGGCUUAACCCCGUGAUGGGAUGGAAACUGAGAGGCUGGAGUAUCGGAGAGGAAAGUGGAAUUCCUAGUGUAGCGGUGAAAUGCGUAGAGAUUAGGAAGAACACCGGUGGCGAAGGCGACUUUCUGGACGACAACUGACGCUGAGGCGCGAAAGCGUGGGGAGCAAACAGG